This 276-nucleotide ribosomal RNA is filed under the name uncultured Glomus. RNAcentral describes it as "partial 18S ribosomal RNA". It matches the Rfam family "Eukaryotic small subunit ribosomal RNA", at positions 548 to 829 of the family's 1831-position model. Lineage: Eukaryota; Fungi; Glomeromycota; Glomeromycetes; Glomerales; Glomeraceae. The record is from RNAcentral.
UUGGAGGGCAAGUCUGGUGCCAGCAGCCGCGGUAAUUCCAGCUCCAAUAGCGUAUAUUAAAGUUGUUGCAGUUAAAAAGCUCGUAGUUGAAUUUCGGGAUUAGUACGUCGGUCGUGCCUUAGGUACGUACUGGUAUUACUGGUUCCUACCUUCUGACGAACCAUCAUGUCAUUAAUUUGGUGUGGUGGGGAAUCAGGACUGUUACUUUGAAAAAAUUAGAGUGUUUAAAGCAGGCUCGCGCUUGAAUACAUUAGCAUGGAAUAAUGAAAUAGGACG